UAAUACGGAGGGUGCGAGCGUUGUCCGGAAUCACUGGGCGUAAAGGGCGCGUAGGCGGUCUGCUAAGCGUGCGGUGAAAGCCUGGGGCUCAACCCCAGGUCUGCCGUGCGAACUGGUGGACUAGAGCACUGUAGAGGCAGGUGGAAUUCCGGGUGUAGCGGUGGAAUGCGUAGAGAUCCGGAAGAACACCGGUGGCGAAGGCGGCCUGCUGGGCAGUUGCUGACGCUGAUGCGCGACAGCGUGGGGAGCAAACAGGAUUAGAUACCCUGGUAGUCCACGCCGUAAACGAUGGGCACUAGGUGCUUGGGGGAGCGACCCCCCGAGUGCCGGCGCUAACGCAUUAAGUGCCCCGCCUGGGGAGUACGACCGCAAGGUUG
This 377-nucleotide ribosomal RNA is filed under the name uncultured bacterium. Its description in RNAcentral is "bacterial SSU rRNA". It matches the Rfam family "Bacterial small subunit ribosomal RNA", at positions 521 to 896 of the family's 1533-position model. The record is from RNAcentral.